CGGGACGUGGCUCAGUUCGGUAGAGCACUCGGCUGGGGGUCGAGGGGUCGCAGGUUCAAAUCCUGUCGUCCCGACUA
Molecule: transfer RNA, 77 nt
Filed under: Rhodohalobacter barkolensis
Lineage: Bacteria; Pseudomonadati; Balneolota; Balneolia; Balneolales; Balneolaceae
Description: tRNA-Pro
Rfam family: tRNA
About the family: Transfer RNA (tRNA) molecules are approximately 80 nucleotides in length. Their secondary structure includes four short double-helical elements and three loops (D, anti-codon, and T loops).
Source: RNAcentral